This 459-nucleotide small RNA is filed under the name Vigna angularis var. angularis. RNAcentral's name for it is "Non-protein coding transcript". The record is from RNAcentral. Lineage: Eukaryota; Viridiplantae; Streptophyta; Magnoliopsida; Fabales; Fabaceae.
CCCAAAUCAAAAACCCUAAUUUCUGUAGGUUUUUGUGAUUUAACAGAAAACGAUAUGGGAGUUUUGUUCCUUGCAGAUGGUUUUGCGUCAUCAAUGGAGAUUGAACAAGUUCAAUGGUGGUGCGAUUUGGGAUUUUACAAGUUUUCACGGAAGAGGUUCAAUGGUUUUGUGAUAUUUGGGGUUUCAUUUUGCAAGUUCUCGUGAAGUUGGGGAGAAGAUCAAGAUGGUGAGAUGUUGAUGGUGGUUCUCAUGAUGCAAAACUAUUUGGGCUUGCGAUUUGGGUCUGAUUCAUUAUAGUGAAAGGUUUCUUUUGCAGAUUGGGUUUCUUGGUUGAUUUGUGGUGGCUUGUGUAGUUGCUAACGGCGAAGCUCAUGGUGGUCCGACGUAAUGGAGAAGAUGAUGGCUUGAGUAUGGUGCACGACGACGCGUUGAUGAAAGGAAAAUGAGGGUUUCUUAUUU